AAUCUCAACUACUAGGGUUUCCUAGUAAGCUUGGAUUUGGGUGUCUGCCUUGCGAAAGGCUCACCUUAAAAGUGUUAGCGUGUCUAAUCAGUGAUAUUGUCUGGCGUAAUAAGUUUCGCUGGGCUAGCUGAGAAGCGUGCUUCUAAACUGUCUUUGGACAACUUUUCUUGAC
RNAcentral lists this unclassified non-coding RNA (172 nucleotides) under uncultured Bullera. RNAcentral describes it as "sequence contains ITS2". The record is from RNAcentral. Lineage: Eukaryota; Fungi; Basidiomycota; Tremellomycetes; Tremellales.